AACGAACGCUGGCGGCAGGCUUAACACAUGCAAGUCGAACGCCCCGCAAGGGGAGUGGCAGACGGGUGAGUAACGCGUGGGAAUCUACCCAGUUCUACGGAACAACAGUUGGAAACGACUGCUAAUACCGUAUACGCCCUAAGGGGGAAAGAUUUAUCGGAAUUGGAUGAGCCCGCGUUGGAUUAGCUAGUUGGUGGGGUAAUGGCCUACCAAGGCGACGAUCCAUAGCUGGUCUGAGAGGAUGAUCAGCCACACUGGGACUGAGACACGGCCCAGACUCCUACGGGAGGCAGCAGUGGGGAAUAUUGGACAAUGGGCGCAAGCCUGAUCCAGCCAUGCCGCGUGAGUGAUGAAGGCCUUAGGGUUGUAAAGCUCUUUCAGUGGGGACGAUAAUGACGGUACCCACAGAAGAAGCCCCGGCUAACUUCGUGCCAGCAGCCGCAGUAA
RNAcentral lists this ribosomal RNA (447 nucleotides) under uncultured bacterium. RNAcentral's name for it is "partial 16S ribosomal RNA". It matches the Rfam family "Bacterial small subunit ribosomal RNA", at positions 29 to 523 of the family's 1533-position model. The record is from RNAcentral.